This 1437-nucleotide ribosomal RNA is filed under the name uncultured Bordetella sp. RNAcentral's name for it is "partial 16S-23S ribosomal RNA intergenic spacer". It matches the Rfam family "Bacterial small subunit ribosomal RNA". The record is from RNAcentral. Lineage: Bacteria; Pseudomonadati; Pseudomonadota; Betaproteobacteria; Burkholderiales; Alcaligenaceae.
GGUUCGAUUAUAGCUCCAGAUUGAACGCUGGCGGGAUGCUUUACGCGCAGUCGAGCGGCCUGGACUUCGGUCUGGUGGCGAGUGGCGAACAGGUGAGUAAUGUAUCGGAACGUGCCUAGUGGCAGAGGAUAACUGCUGCGGCGCGCUAAUACAUACGCCCUUCGGGGAAAGCUGGAGACCAUGCAGACUCGCACUAAUGAAGCGGCCGAUAUCGGUUCAGCUGAUUGGUGGGGUAACGGCUCACCAAGGCGACGAUCCGUAGCUGGUUUGAAGGACGACCAGCCACACUGGGACUGAGACACGGCCCAGACUCCUACGGGAGGCAGCAAUUAGGGAAUUUUGGACAAUGGGGAAACCCUGAUCCAGCCAUCCCGCGUGUGCGAUGAAGGCCUUCAGGUUGUAAAGCACGCGGCGGAAAGCGGCACGGGAUAAUACCCGGUACAACUGACAUUACCUGCAGAAUAGCUUUCCUUCUGCAAAUUACCGGCAACCACGAUGAUACGUAAGUGCAAGCGUUAAUCUCUGGGCCACUGAGCAGCAUGCGCAGGCGGUUCAGGAAGAGAUGUGAAAUCCCAGAGCUUAACUUUGGAACUGCAUUUUUAACUACCGAGCUAGAGUGUGUCAGAGGGAGGUGGAAUUCCGCGUGUAGCAGUGAAAUGCGUAGAUAUGCGGAGGAACACCGAUGGCGACAGCCUCCUGGGAUAACACUGACGCUCAUGCACGAAAGCGAUGUAAGGAGCAAGCAAGUUAGGUAUGGUGAUCCACGCCCUAAACGAUGUCAGCUAGCUGUUGGGCAUUGGGCGCUGGUAGCACAGCUAACGCGUGAAGUUGACCGCCUGGGGAAGUACGGUCGCAAGAUUAAAACUCGAGGAAUUGACGGGGAUACGCACAAGCGGUGGAUGAUGUGGAUUAAUUCGAUGCAACGCAAAAACCACCUACCCUUAGGCAUGUCUGGAAUCCCGAAGAGAUUUGGGAACGCCAUAGAGAACCGGAACACAGGUGCAUGGCUGUCGUCCAGCUCGUGUCGUGAAUGACUGAUUUAGUCUGCUGAGCGCAGCCUGUGUCGUGGUUGCUACGAAGGGCACUCUAAUGGGACUGCCGGUGACAAACCGGAGGAAGGUGGGGAUGACGUCAAGUCCUCAUGGCCCUUAUGGGUAGGGCUUCACACGUCAUACAAUGGUCGGGACAGAGGGUCGCCAUGCGAGAAGGCAAUCCCGAAGCCCGAUCGUAGUCCGGAUCGCAGUCUGCAACUCUCUCGGCUGCGUGAAAUCGAAUCUUCAUCAUCACGGGAUCAACAACUCGCGAGUGAAUACAUUCAGGUCUUACUUCACAUACGUCACCACCAUGUGAUCGGGUUUUGCACAAGUAGUUAGCCUAACCGUAAGGAGGGCGAUUACCACGGUAGUUGCGGCGCGGGAACGAGUGGCAACAAGGUAA